UACGUAGGGUGCGAGCGUUAAUCGGAAUUACUGGGCGUAAAGCGUGCGCAGGCGGGCUUUUAAGCCAGGCGUGAAAUCCCCGGGCUUAACCUGGGAAUGGCGUUUGGGACUGGGAGUCUGGAGUGCGGCAGAGGAGACUGGAAUUCCUGGUGUAGCAGUGAAAUGCGUAGAUAUCAGGAGGAACACCGAUGGCGAAGGCAGGUCUCUGGGCUGACACUGACGCUCAUGCACGAAAGCGUGGGGAGCAAACAGG
This 253-nucleotide ribosomal RNA is filed under the name uncultured bacterium. RNAcentral's name for it is "partial 16S ribosomal RNA". It matches the Rfam family "Bacterial small subunit ribosomal RNA", at positions 524 to 776 of the family's 1533-position model. The record is from RNAcentral.